Molecule: transfer RNA, 73 nt
Filed under: Ceratocystis platani
Lineage: Eukaryota; Fungi; Ascomycota; Sordariomycetes; Microascales; Ceratocystidaceae
Description: tRNA-Arg
Rfam family: tRNA
About the family: Transfer RNA (tRNA) molecules are approximately 80 nucleotides in length.
Source: RNAcentral
GCUCCCCUAGCCCAAUGGUAGGGCGUCAGACUUCUAAUCUGAAGGUUGCGGGUUCGAGUCCCGCGGGGAGUUC